Molecule: ribosomal RNA, 253 nt
Filed under: uncultured bacterium
Lineage: Bacteria
Description: partial 16S ribosomal RNA
Rfam family: Bacterial small subunit ribosomal RNA
Source: RNAcentral
UACAGAGGGUGCGAGCGUUAAUCGGAAUUACUGGGCGUAAAGGGCGUGUAGGUGGUUUUGUAAGUUUGAUGUGAAAGCCCCGGGCUUAACCUGGGAACUGCGUUGAAAACUGCAAGACUCGAGUUGGACAGAGGGUGGUGGAAUUUCCGGUGUAGCGGUGAAAUGCGUAGAGAUCGGAAAGAACAUCCGUGGCGAAGGCGGCCACCUGGGUCCAAACUGACACUGAGGCGCGAAAGCGUGGGGAGCAAACAGG